Ictalurus punctatus (channel catfish) is the source of this 2084-nucleotide RNA transcript. It is a transcript of the gene named heterogeneous nuclear ribonucleoprotein A1a, with no coding region annotated. The record is from RefSeq and is a predicted model, not a curated record. The transcript is spliced from 12 exons. NCBI's taxonomy places the organism in Eukaryota, Metazoa, Chordata, Actinopteri, Siluriformes, Ictaluridae.
AGCGUCCCGUGCGUCAUGACGUAUUUCAUUGUCUUCGUGAGGCGCAUUCGGUGAAGGUUUGUGAAUCUGAGUAGUACCGAGUUGUCGCCAUGUCUAAAGAGACGCCUCGCGAGCCCGAGCAGAUGCGAAAGCUCUUCAUCGGGGGUCUGAGCUUCGAGACAACAGAUGAGAGCCUCCGGGCGCAUUUCGAACAAUGGGGAGCCCUGACAGACUGCGUGGUGAUGAGGGAUCCGAACACUAAGAGGUCGAGGGGGUUCGGCUUCGUGACCUACAGCUCGGUGAACGAAGUCGACGCGGCGAUGGACGCUCGGCCUCACAAAGUGGACGGGAGAGCUGUCGAGCCCAAAAGAGCCGUCUCACGAGAGGACUCGAGCAGGCCGGGCGCUCAUUCCACGGUGAAGAAGAUCUUCGUCGGAGGAAUCAAAGAGGACACAGACGAGGAGCACCUGCGCGACUACUUCAUCCAGUUCGGCAAAAUCGAGGAAGUGAACAUCAUGACCGAGAAGAACAGCGACAAGAGGAGGGGCUUCGCCUUCGUUACGUUCGACGACCAUGACUCAGUGGACAGGAUAGUCAUUCAGAAGUAUCACACAGUGAACGGUCACAACUGUGAAGUCAGGAAAGCGCUUUCCAGAGAAGAGAUGAACAGAGUUUCCAUGAACAACAGAGGUGGCCGCGGCGGCGGUGGAGGAAACUUUGGCGGUCGGGGAGGCGGAGGAGGAGGUGGUGGAUACGGAGGUGGAUACGGAGGUGGUGGACGUGGCGGAUAUGGAGACGGGGACGGAUACGGAGGAAACGGUGGCUAUGGUGGAGGUGGUCCUGGUUAUGGUGGUAACCGUGGGUACGGAGGAGGAGGAGGCAGUGGCUACGGCAACCAGGGUGGCGGCAGCGGUGGAUAUGGCGGCGGAGGAUACGACAACUACAACGGUGGAGGAGGCGGAGGGAACUAUGGAGGAGGAAACUUCGGCGGCGGCGGCGACUACAAUGACUUCGGCAACUACAACAAUCAGUCGUCGUCUAAUUACGGCCCGAUGAAGGGUGGAAACUAUGGCGGCGGAGGCAGGAGCGGCGGUGGUCCGUAUGGUGGCGGUUAUGGAGGUGGUUCUGGUGGUAGUUACGGAGGUGGAUCUGGAGGAAGGAGGUUCUAAGUAUUAGAUGACUGAACCAGAGGAUGGAUUUCUUUCUUCCGUGUGCAGCUUUUCCAGCGCAGAGAGCUGAUGAAUGUUUCCCUGAGAAGUAAUUCUGAGAGAUCCCAGGUUCUGAGAGUCGGGAUCGUUGGUCAGGAAUUCCGGCAUAAGCACGAUCACUCACAGAAGGAUCUCCUAAAACAUUUCAGUAGGAGUUACAAGUAAAAACCCUUUUUGUUUUAUUUUUCUUUUAAGUACCUUUUCGAUUGAACACAGAACUGUGAUCAAAGGCUACUGGACCUUGUGUAUAUGCUACAUAGCUAAAAGUAUAUGCACCCCCUGACCAUCACACCCGUGCGUGCUUGUUCAACAUCUCAUUCCAGAUUUGCUGUUAUAAUGCGCUCCACUCUUCUGGGAAGACUUUCCACUAGAUGUUGGGGUGGUGUUGUGGGGAUUUGCGUUCAUUCAGCUACAAGAGCGUUAGUGAGGUUGGUGAGGAAGUCAGGUGCUGAUGUUGGGAUGUAGAGGAGGUCUGGCAUGCACUCUGUGUUCCAGUUCAUCACAGGUGUUCAGUGGGGUUGAGGUCAGGACUCUGUUCAGGACACUCGAGAUCUUCCACCUUCUUCCAGCCUUCACACACCAUGUCUUCAUGGAGCUCGCUUUGUGCACUUUGUGUCAUGCUGGAACAGUGUUUGAGCCUCUACGUUCCAGUGAAGGGACAUUCUAUACAGGGGUGUUGUAUAUGAUCGUUUGGAGGUGAACCACGGGGUCUGAUGGUCAGGUGUCCACAUGGCCAUAUAGUGUAGGUCUAAAAAGCUGCUUUUAACACACAGGUUCCAGAAGUUGUGGGUUUCUCAACAAGGACCGUUUAAGAUUUUGGAGAAAUUCCUUGAAUAUUUUAGUAAUUUUUGGACUUUUUUUAUUUAGUCGAUAUAAUCUCUGACCUGAUCUUUCUCU